Molecule: ribosomal RNA, 1884 nt
Filed under: human gut metagenome
Description: bacterial LSU rRNA
Rfam family: Bacterial large subunit ribosomal RNA
Source: RNAcentral
UCAAGCGAACAAGGGCGCAGGGCGAAUGCCUUGGCACUGGGAGCCGAUGAAAGACGUGAUAAGCUGCGAUAAGCUUCGGGGAGCUGCAAAUAAGCAUUGAUCCGGAGAUUUCUGAAUGAGGAAACUCACCUGGGUUCAUACUCAGGUACGUUAUACUGAACUUCAAAAUAGGUAUAUCGAGGGAACCGCCUGAACUGAAACAUCUAAGUAGGGCGAGGAAGAGACAUCAAACGAGAUUCCGUAAGUAGUGGCGAGCGAACGCGGAAGAGGGCAAACCGAAGGUAGAAAUACCUUCGGGGUACGGACUGCUUUUAGGACUCAAUCUGUUAACCGAACGGCAUGGGAAGGCCGGUCAGAGAGUGUGAGAACCACGUAGGUGAAAACGGAAAGAGCUGCGCAGAUUCCAGAGUACGGCCAGACACGUGAAACCUGGUCGGAAGAUGGGGGGACCACCCUCCAACCCUAAAUACUACCCAGUGACCGAUAGCGUAUAGUACUGUGAAGGAAAGGUGAAAAGCACCCCGGGAGGGGAGUGAAAAAGAACCUGAAACCCUGUGCCUACAAGCACCUAGAGCGCGUCAAUGCGUGAUAGGGUACUUUUUGUAGAACGGUCCGGCGAGCGAUUGUAUGCAGCAAGGUUAAGGACUUAAGGUCUGGAGCCGAAGCGAAAGCGAGUUUGAAAAGGGCGUUAAGUUGCAUAUAAUGGGCCCGAAACCGGGUGACCUACCCAUGGUCAGGUUGAAGUGGAAGUAAAAUUCCAUGGAGGACCGAACCGACCUCCGUUGAAAAGGCGGCGGAUGAACUGUGGGUAGCGGAGAAAUUCCAAUCGAACCCGGAGAUAGCUGGUUCUCCCCGAAAUAGUUUUAGGACUAGCCUCAAGUUAGAUACCUGGAGGUAAAGCACUGAAUAGCCUAGCGGCCGAGAGGUUAGCGAAGCUUAUCAAACUCAGAAUGCCAGAGUAUUGAUGCUUGGGAGUCAGACAGUGUCAGAUAAAUGUCAUUGUCAAAAGGGAAACAGCCCAGAUCUACAGCUAAGGUCCCAAAGUCAGGUUAAGUGGAAAACGAUGUGAAGAUACGCAGACAACCAGGAUGUUGGCUCAGAAGCAGCCACUCAUUCAAAGAGUGCGUAAUAGCUCACUGGUCGAGCGUCUUUGCGCGGAGAAUUUAACGGGGCUAAACCUGACACCGAAGCUUAGGCAAUACAGCAAUGUAUUGGGUAGGGGAGCGUUGUAUACGCGGUGAAACAGUAGCGCAAGCGGCUGUGGAGUGUAUAGAAGUGAGAAUGCCGGAAUGAGUAGCGCGAAUGCAGUGAGAAUCUGCAUGGCCGAAAGCCUCAGGUUUCUGGAGGAAGGUUCGUCCGCUCCAGGUUAGUCGGGAGCUAAGGUGAGGCCGGAAGGCGUAGCCGAUGCACAGACGGUAGAGAUUCCGUCACCACCAAAAGAGUUAAGCACAGGGACACAUUUGAAGUCUCAGAGCCGGGUGUUGGUUCCGGUAGAGAUCGAGGGAAGUUAGUACCGAAGUCUGAGAUGGAAGAUGGCGAGAAAAGCUGUGUGUAUUUCUGAGGUGCCCGUACCGCAAACCGACACAGGUAGGUAGGAAGAAGAUUCUAAGGCCAACGGGAGAAGGGUUGUUAAGGAACUCGGCAAAUUGACCCCGUAACUUCGGGAGAAGGGGUGCUCCAGAGAUGGAGCCGCAGAGAAUCGGCCCAAGCAACUGUUUACCAAAAACACAGGUUUGUGCUAAAUCGAAAGAUGACGUAUACGAGCUGACGCCUGCCCGGUGCUGGAAGGUUAAGAGGAGAUGUGCAAGCAUUGAAUCGAAGCCCCAGUGAACGGCGGCCGUAACUAUAACGGUCCUAAGGUAGCGAAAUUCCUUGUCAGGUAAG